This 217-nucleotide unclassified non-coding RNA is filed under the name plant metagenome. Its description in RNAcentral is "partial contains small subunit ribosomal RNA, internal transcribed spacer 1, and 5.8S ribosomal RNA". The record is from RNAcentral.
UCUCCGUAGGUGAACCUGCGGAGGGAUCAUUACAAGUGACCCCGGUCUUACCACCGGGAUGUUCAUAACCCUUUGUUGUCCGACUCUGUUGCCUCCUGGGCGACCCUGCCUUCGGGCGGGGGCUCCGGGUGGACACUUCAAACUCUUGCGUAACUUUGCAGUCUGAGUAAACUUAAUUAAUAAAUUAAAACUUUUAACAACGGAUCUCUUGGUUCCG